RNAcentral lists this long non-coding RNA (325 nucleotides) under Rattus norvegicus (Norway rat). RNAcentral's name for it is "long non-coding RNA NONRATT014209". The record is from RNAcentral. Lineage: Eukaryota; Metazoa; Chordata; Mammalia; Rodentia; Muridae.
CGGCCGCAGCGCCGCCUGCUCAGCGCCCGGGUCAGUAGGAGCCAGUCCUUCGCAGGCGUCCUCGGCAGCCAAGAGCGCGGGCCCAGGAACUUCACGGUCUUCAGCCCACCAGGGCCUCAACGGAAGCCUUUAGUGCUCUCCCGAGUGUCAAGGAUGUUUUCUGUGGCCCACCCAGCCCCCAAGGUGCCACAGCCUGAGAGGCUGGACCUGGUAUAUGCUGCUCUUAAGCGGGGACUGACGUAAGCAAUCCCCUCUUUUAUUCAGUGUCCCAAGAUUCCACAUAGGUUUCUCUCUGCAAGUUUGAAUCUUCCCUAGCCUUGCACCC